AUUGAACGCUGGCGGCAUGCCUUACACAUGCAAGUCGAACGGCAGCACGGGAGCAAUCCUGGUGGCGAGUGGCGAACGGGUGAGUAAUAUAUCGGAACGUGCCCAGUCGUGGGGGAUAACGUAGCGAAAGCUACGCUAAUACCGCAUACGAUCUAUGGAUGAAAGCGGGGGAUCGCAAGACCUCGCGCGAUUGGAGCGGCCGAUAUCAGAUUAGGUAGUUGGUGAGGUAAAGGCUCACCAAGCCGACGAUCUGUAGCUGGUCUGAGAGGACGACCAGCCACACUGGGACUGAGACACGGCCCAGACUCCUACGGGAGGCAGCAGUGGGGAAUUUUGGACAAUGGGCGCGAAGCCUGAUCCAGCAAUGCCGCGUGCAGGAUGAAGGCCUCGGUGUAAC
This 397-nucleotide ribosomal RNA is filed under the name uncultured bacterium. RNAcentral's name for it is "bacterial SSU rRNA". It matches the Rfam family "Bacterial small subunit ribosomal RNA", at positions 30 to 429 of the family's 1533-position model. The record is from RNAcentral.